UCAUGUAUAAUUUUGAGAUUUGUC
Molecule: microRNA, 24 nt
Filed under: Gossypium raimondii (Peruvian cotton)
Lineage: Eukaryota; Viridiplantae; Streptophyta; Magnoliopsida; Malvales; Malvaceae
Description: gra-miR8709b
Source: miRBase by way of RNAcentral